GAUGAACGCUGGCGGCGUGCCUAAUACAUGCAAGUCGAGCGAACAGACGAGGAGCUUGCUCCUCUGACGUAAGCGGCGGACGGGUGAGUAACACGUGGAUAACCUACCUAUAAGACUGGGAUCACUUCGGGAAACCGGAGCUACUACCGGCUAAUAUAUUUAACCGCAUGGUUCAAUAGUGAACGACGGUUUUGCUGUCACUUAUCGAUGGAUCCGCGCCGCAUUAGCUAGUUGGGAAGGUAACGGCUUACCAAGGCAACGAUGCGUAGCCGACCUGAGCGGGUGAAUGGCCACACUGGAACUGAGAGACGGUCCAGACUCCGACGGGAGGCAGCAGUAGGGAAUCUUCCGCAAUGGGCGAAAGCCUGACGGAGCAAAGCCGCGUGAGUGAUGAAGGUCUUCGGAUCGUAAAACUCUGUUAUUAGGGAAGAACAAAUGUGUAAGUAACUAUGCACGUCUUGACGGUACCUAAUCAGAAAGCCACGGCUAACUACGUG
This 497-nucleotide ribosomal RNA is filed under the name uncultured bacterium. Its description in RNAcentral is "partial 16S ribosomal RNA". It matches the Rfam family "Bacterial small subunit ribosomal RNA", at positions 28 to 507 of the family's 1533-position model. The record is from RNAcentral.